CGCGUGGGUAACCUGCCCUAUACACAUGGAUAACAUACUGAAAAGUUUACUAAUACAUGAUAAUAUAUAUUUGCGGCAUCGUAGAUAUAUCAAAGUGUUAGCGGUAUAGGAUGGACCCGCGUCUGAUUAGCUAGUUGGUGAGAUAACUGCCCACCAAGGCGACGAUCAGUAGCCGACCUGAGAGGGUGAUCGGCCACAUUGGAACUGAGACACGGUCCAAACUCCUACGGGAGGCAGCAGAC
Molecule: ribosomal RNA, 242 nt
Filed under: uncultured Peptostreptococcus sp.
Lineage: Bacteria; Bacillati; Bacillota; Clostridia; Peptostreptococcales; Peptostreptococcaceae
Description: partial 16S ribosomal RNA
Rfam family: Bacterial small subunit ribosomal RNA
Source: RNAcentral